Alnus glutinosa is the source of this 708-nucleotide long non-coding RNA. RefSeq lists it as uncharacterized. The record is from RefSeq and is a predicted model, not a curated record. NCBI's taxonomy places the organism in Eukaryota, Viridiplantae, Streptophyta, Magnoliopsida, Fagales, Betulaceae. The transcript is spliced from 4 exons.
UUCCCUCCCUCUCUCCAUCUACCCCAAAAUCUUCCCACCGUUCGGAGCUCCGUCGUUCUUCCGGUUCCGGCGACCAGUUUCGCACGAGCCCGCCACCGUUCCGAGCUCCAUCGUUCUUUCGGUUCCAGCGACCAAUUUCGCACGAGCCUGCCACCGUUCCGAGCUCCGUCAUUCUUCCGGUUCCGACGAGGUCCCCCACCGUCUACUUCCAUCUCCAUUUCCAUCUCCGGCCACUAGGUACUGCCAGGCACCAUCACCGUCGUUCUCCAUCUUCGGCUAAAGCCCACCCACCGGCCGUCUUCCAGUUCCGGCCCUCUUCCAUCUUCGGCCAUUUUCCAGUUCUGGCUUCCCCCCAAAUCCGUCUCCUUCAAAAACUUUUAAAUGGAUUUAUCACAAUUAGACUUGAUUUCACAACACGAAGAUGAUUGUUCAUUGACAUAUAUUGAACUUGAUGAUGUUGUGCCCAUCGAAAUGGACCCUCAAAAUGGCACAAGUAAAUGUCUACAACAAGUGAUUUGUCAAGCGGUCAUCCGUUAUGUAAGUGUGGAAUUCCUGCACGUCUAAGGAACUCUUGGACCACAUCCAAUACCGCUAAAAAGUGGUAUGGAUGUAAUAACUACAAGAAAGCCGAUGAUUGUGAUUUUUUUGAAAGAAAUGGAAGAGAAAGUUGAGGAAUUGUUUGAAAAAAAAUGUAAGGAGCAAUUAGCG